AUUGAACGCUGGCGGCAUGCUUUACACAUGCAAGUCGAACGGCAGCACGGGCUUCGGCCUGGUGGCGAGUGGCGAACGGGUGAGUAAUAUAUCGGAACGUACCCAGAAGUGGGGGAUAACGUAGCGAAAGUUACGCUAAUACCGCAUACGAUCUAUGGAUGAAAGCAGGGGACCGCAAGGCCUUGUGCUCCUGGAGCGGCCGAUAUCUGAUUAGCUAGUUGGUGAGGUAAAGGCUCACCAAGGCGACGAUCAGUAGCUGGUCUGAGAGGACGACCAGCCGCACUGGAACUGAGACACGGUCCAGACUCCUACGGGAGGCAGCAGUGGGGAAUUUUGGACAAUGGGCGCAAGCCUGAUCCAGCAAUGCCGCGUGAGUGAAGAAGGCCUUCGGGUUGUAAAGCUCUUUUGUCAGGGAAGAAACGGUAGAGGCUAAUAUCCUUUGCUAAUGACGGUACCUGAAGAAUAAGCACCGGCUAACUACGUG
This 484-nucleotide ribosomal RNA is filed under the name uncultured bacterium. RNAcentral describes it as "partial 16S ribosomal RNA". It matches the Rfam family "Bacterial small subunit ribosomal RNA", at positions 30 to 507 of the family's 1533-position model. The record is from RNAcentral.